Molecule: ribosomal RNA, 1100 nt
Filed under: uncultured bacterium
Lineage: Bacteria
Description: partial 16S ribosomal RNA
Rfam family: Bacterial small subunit ribosomal RNA
Source: RNAcentral
AAUACGACUCCACUAUAGGGCGAAUGUCGACGUGCAUGCUCCGGCGCAUGCCGCGCGGAAUCGAUUAGAGUUGAUCAUGCUCAGAACGAACGCAGCGGCAUCUUACACAUGCAAGUCGAGGGCAUUUCGGGGGCAACUCUGGAGUGACCGGCGAACGGGUAUGUAACACGUGAGCGACCUUGCCUCGUGGUGGGGGAUAGCCGGCCCAACGGCCCGGGUAAUACCGCAUAGGGUAGUUCUUUCGCAUGGGAGGACUAGCAAAGCCGUGCAGCAAUGCACUGGCGCCACAGGGGGGGCUCGCGGCCUAUCAGCUAGUUGGGGGGGUAAUGGCCCACCAAGGCGACGACGGGUAGCUGGUCUGAGAGGAUGGCCAGCCACAUUGGGACUGAGAGACGGCCCAGACUCCUACGGGAGGCAGCAGUGGGGAAUCUUGCGCAAUGGCCGAAAGGCUGACGCAGCGACGCCGCGUGGGGGAGGAAGGCCUUCGGGUUGUAAACCCCUGUUGCCCGGGACGAAUGUGCAUUUUUGAAUGCAUUGACGGUACCGGGUGAGGAAGCACCGGCUAACUCCGUGCCAGCAGCCGCGGUAAUACGGAGGGUGCAAGCGUUGUCCGGAAUCACUGGGCGUAAAGGGCGCGUAGGCGGCUCAUGAAGGCUGUGGUGAAAGUCCGGGGCUCAACCUCGGAUCGGCCGUGGCGACUCGUGGGCUGGAGCACUGUAGAGGCGGGUGGAAUUCCGGGUGUAGCGGUGGAAUGCGUAGAGAUCCGGAGGAACACCAGUGGCGAAAGGCGGCCCGCUGGGCAGUGGCUGACGCUGAGGCGCGACAGCGUGGGGAGCAAACAGGAUUAGAUACCCUGGUAGUCCACGCCGUAAACGAUGGGCCCUAAGUGCUUGGGGGAGCGACCCUCUGAGUGCCGGCGCUAACGCAUUAAGUGCCCCGCCUGGGGGAUUACGGCCGCAAGGCUGAAACUCAAAGGAAUUGACGGGGGCCCGCACAAGGCAGUGGAGCAUGUGRUKUAAUUCGAUGCAACGCGAAGAACCUUACCUGGCCUUGACAUGUCUGGAAUCCUUGAGAGAUCGAGGAGUGCCUUCGGGAAUCAG